GGACUCGCUCCGGCAGCACGUAUACAAAAAUUGGAACGAUAUAGAGAAGAUUAGCAUGGUCCUUCAGCAAGAAUGACACGGAAAUUUGUGAAGCAGUCCAUAUUUUA
This is a small nuclear RNA of Hippopotamus amphibius kiboko, 107 nucleotides long. NCBI's taxonomy places the organism in Eukaryota, Metazoa, Chordata, Mammalia, Artiodactyla, Hippopotamidae. The record is from RefSeq and is a predicted model, not a curated record.